CCCUACUGAUCAUAGUCUUGGUAAGCCAUUACCUUACCAACUAACUAAUCAGUAGGGGACCUGAGAGGGUGACCCCCCACACUGGUACUGAGACACGGACCAGACUUCUACGGAAGGCAGCAGUGAGGAAUAUUGGUCAAUGGAGGAAACUCUGAACCAGUCACGCCGCGUGCAGGAGGAAGGCCAUAUUGGUUGUAAACUGCUUUUACACAGGAAUAAAAUUUUCUAUGUAUAGAAAUUUGAAGGUACUGUGAGAAUAAGUAUCGGCUAAUUCUGUGCCAGCAGCCGCGGUAAUACAGAUGAUACAAGCGUUAUCCGGAUUUAUUGGGUUUAAAGGGUACGUAGGCGGUUUAUUAAGUCAGUAGUGAAAUUUUGCAGCUUAACUGUUAUAAAGUGUUAUUGAUACUAAUAAACUAGAGUUAUAAUGGAGUAAUUGGAAUGUGUGGUGGAGCGGUGAAAUGCAUAGAUAUCACACAGAACACCAAUCGCGAAGGCAGGUUACUAAUUAUAUACUGACGCUGAGGUACGAAAGCGUGGGGAGCAAACAGGAUUAGAUAUCCUGGUAGUCCACGCCGUAAACGAUGAUCACUAGUUAUUGGAUAAUAUAUUUUUCAGUGGCUAAGCGAAAGUGAUAAGUGAUCCACCUGGGGAGUACGAUCGCAAGAUUGAAACUCAAAGGAAUUGACGGGGGCCCGCACAAGCGGUGGAGCAUGUGGUUUAAUUCGAUGAUACGCGAGGAACCUUACCAAGAUUUAAAUGUACUACGAAUAAAUUGGAAACAGUUUAGUUCUUCGGACGGAGUACAAGGUGCUGCAUGGUUGUCGUCAGCUCGUGCCGUGAGGUGUUAGGUUAAGUCCUUUAACGAGCGCAACCCUUGUUAUUAAUUGCUAACAGAUAAUGCUGAGAUAUUUAAUAAGACUGCCAACGUAAGUUGGAGGAAGGUGAGGAUGACGUCAAAUCAUCAUGGCUUUUACAUUUUGGGCUACACACGUGCUACAAUGGUUGAUACAAUAAGUUGCAAUUAGGUGACUAUGAGCUAAUCUUUAAAAUCAAUCUAAGUACGGAUUGAAGUCUGUAACUCGACUUUAUGAAGUUGGAAUCGCUAGUAAUCGCGUAUCAGCAAUGACGCGGUGAAUACGUUCUCGGGUCUUGUACACACCGCCCGUCAAGUCAUGGAAAUUAGAAUUAUUUGAAAUUAAUAUAAAAGCAAAAAAAUAUUAAUUAAAAUAAAUUUAAUAACUAGGGCUAAGUCGUAACAAGGUAGCCGUAUCGGAAGAUGUGGCUGGAAAUAUUCUGUU
Molecule: ribosomal RNA, 1298 nt
Filed under: Candidatus Shikimatogenerans bostrichidophilus
Lineage: Bacteria; Pseudomonadati; Bacteroidota; Flavobacteriia; Flavobacteriales
Also listed under: 1 other name
Description: bacterial SSU rRNA
Rfam family: Bacterial small subunit ribosomal RNA
Source: RNAcentral